This 275-nucleotide long non-coding RNA is filed under the name Elaeis guineensis (African oil palm). RNAcentral describes it as "long non-coding RNA (EGUI_LNC008475)". Lineage: Eukaryota; Viridiplantae; Streptophyta; Magnoliopsida; Arecales; Arecaceae. The record is from RNAcentral.
UUGUAGAAUUAGGUGUAAUGUCAUGAGAUAAUACAAUAAUGUUCUUAAGCAACGAUGAUCCAUAGCCCUAACUAAGGAGCCAAGAUCUCACCAGAGCUCUUAGUACAUAAGAGCGAUGAUUCAUGAUUAUUCCAAGAAGUAAGACUUUGAAGAUCAGAAUAGAUCCCAUGAAAAUAUGAUGGAUCCACUGACUAAAUGAUUUAGCCAGCCAGGACUAAGACACAUCUUGAGAAGAUAGGGCUUAAAUUUAUGAUGGAUUGACUUUAAUGCAAGUG